ACUCCUACGGGAGGCAGCAGUAAGGAAUAUUGGUCAAUGGACGCAAGUCUGAACCAGCCAUGCCGCGUGAAGGAUGAAAGUCCUCUGGAUUGUGAACUUCCUUUAUGUGGGAAGAAACCGCUUUUUUCUAAAGGCGUUGACGGUACCAUAGGAAUAAGCACCGGCUAACUCCGUGCCAGCAGCCGCGGUAAU
RNAcentral lists this ribosomal RNA (192 nucleotides) under uncultured bacterium. RNAcentral's name for it is "partial 16S ribosomal RNA". It matches the Rfam family "Bacterial small subunit ribosomal RNA", at positions 335 to 524 of the family's 1533-position model. The record is from RNAcentral.